GAAGAAUGGCCCGGAUAAGAGUAUAAAAACGGCGACUAAAAAAAAAGGUUUAAGGCCGCCAGUGAGAGGUGUCAAAAAUCUUCACCAAAUCUGGUAUUUAUAGGCGUAAAACUAGGGGUUUUGGAAUAGAGUUUGGGCAGGAUUUCGAGUUGGGAUUUCAAAAUUGAGUCAAAGAGCCGUUUGAAAAAGAAAAUCAAAUUCUUGAUGUUGAUUUCACAUGCAGCAAAAUCAGAUUUUCUGAAAAGGAAUUUUGGCUUUAUAUAUUGAGCAUGUUGAUGAUAUAUGGGCAAAACAUCUGAAGUGCUAAGAUCGAAAGAGAAGGAAAGUUUCACCAAAAUAGGGUGACAUAUCUCUGUGAAAGAUUAAAACCGAUGGAGCUUGUCUAGAAG
Molecule: long non-coding RNA, 389 nt
Filed under: Nicotiana benthamiana
Lineage: Eukaryota; Viridiplantae; Streptophyta; Magnoliopsida; Solanales; Solanaceae
Description: long non-coding RNA (NBEN_LNC012710)
Source: RNAcentral